UCGAGAAUUUUUCACAAUGGGCGCAAGCCUGAUGGAGCGACGCCGCGUGGGGGAUGAAUGGCUUCGGCCCGUAAACCCCUGUCAUUCGGGAUCAAUGCGCACGGGUGAAUAGCUCGUGCGUUGAUAGUACUGAAAGAGGAAGGGACGGCUAACUCUGUGCCAGCAGCCGCGGUAAUACAGAGGUCCCAAGCGUUGUUCGGAUUUACUGGGCGUAAAGGGUGCGUAGGUGGUCGGGUAAGUCUGAUGUGAAAUCUUCGAGCUCAACUCGAAAACUGCAUUGGAUACUAUCCGGCUCGAGGUUGGGAGGGGAGACUGGAAUUCUCGGUGUAGCAGUGAAAUGCGUAGAUAUCGAGAGGAACACCAGUGGCGAAGGCGAGUCUCUGGACCAAUCCUGACGCUGAGGCACGAAAGCCAGGGGAGCAAACG
This 426-nucleotide ribosomal RNA is filed under the name uncultured Verrucomicrobiota bacterium. Its description in RNAcentral is "uncultured Verrucomicrobia bacterium partial 16S ribosomal RNA". It matches the Rfam family "Bacterial small subunit ribosomal RNA", at positions 355 to 774 of the family's 1533-position model. Lineage: Bacteria; Pseudomonadati; Verrucomicrobiota. The record is from RNAcentral.